CGUCAACAGAAUGAACCACAUCAGGUGCACGGCGUCAGGUUAGUCCUCCUCCUGAUCUCCUCCAUCGCUGAAAAAUCCAGUCCUCCUCAAUCUCCCCCUCCUCCCUCUCCUCUGCGCCCGCAUCUGUCCGGGAUCAAACCCCCACGAGCUCCUCCUCGGUGCGCGGCUCUCUCGAUCCCGAUCCAUUCAGAGGGGCUGCCCCUUCUCUCCUCCGCUCGCCGCUUGGCCGUAGAAAAGAAGUCAGGGCAGGGGACAUGCCGCCGCCAGUGGCAUUUUCCCAUCGCGCCUCGAUUUGGCCGCCUCGGCGGAGGCGCUCGCGGCCUGGAGGGUCGGCGCAGCGCCUCACCUUGGCCUGGAGGCUGGCCGCCAUGGAGCUCGCCUCGGCCUUGAACUGGUGCUCGACGGGGCCUCCCAGCCCGGUUCAUGGCCGCAGCCGUCUUGGCUGUGCACGCCGGUGUCGUGACGUGGUGGCCAGGCACUGGUUACUGCCUCACCCGACCCCAGCGUGCCCGAGAUGCCUGCAGACCUCUCCACCAUCUCUGCUCCUGGUUCGCUCUGUUUCCUCCUGGACGCCAAAGGGGGUCAUGAGCAUUAGAUUGGUUUUUGAACAUUAGAUCCAUUAGAUCCAUUAACUGAAAGAUAUAGACGUACUCUGUAUGUACAAAGCUAGCUAGCUAGCUAAUACAAGCAGCUUAAUUGAUUGUUGUAUGAGCAGCUUUGCCGCUGCAUAUCCAGGUUUAGUCAUCCUCUGCAUUGCAUUUGAUUCAGAUUACCAUAAGAUGAUUUUUAAUAGAUAUUUGGUCUUACACGAGUCACAUUGGAUUUUUUCCCUAUAGAUUCAGAGUAGUAUUUUCAUGAAACUAUCACUGAUACUUUGCCUUUCAUGUCCAUUCACAUAUGUCUGGUUUACCUACACAAGGGCACAAUGAUGAAUUUUACGGAGGAUGCUCCGGUAAAGAAAGGCUCUGUUCUCUUAACAAGGAUGGAAAGUAUAACGGCAUACAAAAACCAACGUGGACAACCCAAAUCUGGAACUCCAGAACAAUCUGACAUUCUAGUAUCUGCUAAUGACAUGUGUUCCCUUGCUGAAUGGCCAUCCCAUGCUCGCCGCAACCGUGCGCUACUACAGGAUGAAGCUGGUGGACAGAAGAAGAAAGGGCGAGGUGUUCUAAAAGGUUUUAAAGCAUCUAAGAAGCGUUUUGCCAAUGGAUCUGCAAAGCUAAAUAUUACAUUCUCUGAAAAAUUGGGUGGUACAGUAGGAAUGAACUAUCGUUCGUUCAAGGAUGACGUGGUAGUCAUAAUGAAAAGAAAGUUACCACUCAUUGGAGUGAGGACGUGGUCGGACAUUCACCCUACCAUUCAUCGACUCAUUGUUGCAGAUAUGAUAGACAGAUGGGACCUAGAAGAUACACCAGAAACAGAAGAAAAAGUUCUCAAAAUUGCGAAAGAGAGAUAUAGAGGCUGGCGAUCAACUCUAAGCUCCACUUACAAGGCAUACAAAACAGAUGCAGCUAGAUUGGCUAAUCUGCCAGAAGAUUUACAACCAGAAGAGUGGGAAUGGAUGAUUGAGUACUUUGGCACUGAUUCAAAAUUUCAGGAACACAGCCAAAUGAACGCCGAUAACCGUAAGAAACAGAAGACAAAACACAUAAUGGGAUCAAAAUCUUACUCGCAAGUUAGUUUUGAGAAGAGAAACUUGGAAACUGGAGAAGAGCCAGAUUGUAUUGCUCUAUGGGAACUCACCCACACAAACGAUGGAACAUGGUCUAACACAGAUUCCCAGAAAGUUUACGACAAAGCACUUGAAGAGGUUAAAAACAAACAAGCUGAAACUGAAGGUCCACUUUCAAGUGAGCAGAAAAACAAUAUUUUCCAGACCGCUUGCAAAGACACUCUGGAAUGCAAGUCAUCGCAGCCUCGUGGGUACGGAUACAUGGCCAAAACUUCAACUAGUUCUGAAAAGUUCCGUAUCCAGAUUGAAGAGCAAGCUCGUGCUACAGCAGCCACCCAGGAGCGAAACUCUCAGCUCAGCCAGCAGGUCAAUGACUUAGAAGAUCAACUACAAGCUGAACGUGCUAACACACAAGAGAGGAUUAACUUGGAGCGUGCUGAGAGAGAACAACUUGAGGAGAGGUUAAAAGAAGAGCGUGCUGAAAGGGAAAGAUUGUUGCAAGAGGAGCGAACAUCAAGGCUGGAAUUGGAAAAAAACAUGAUGGCAAAGUUUGUAGAAUUGAGCAAACAGAUGGGAAUCCAACAGGUGAUGGUGAUUACAGUCAUAUGCUUCCGACCUUGUGCCUACGAAGAGGGUUGACAAAGAAAAUAGUAAUCCAAACUUGCAAAAUAUUCUUUCACAGACAUCUAGUCCUAAUAAGACUCCAGGUUCAAGGCCGACUGCUAUUUCUUCAAAUGCGCUCAUACAAGCUGCAACAAGGCAAUCUCGAAUGUUUAAAGCAAUGGAUCCAAAGAACUAGCUGGACUGGACUCUAGAUCACGGGCAGUUUAGUCUUCGAAGUUAAUUAGGAUGGCUAAAUUACAUUUCAGUUUUAUUUGAUGGAUAUUUUCUAUCAGAAUUAUGAAUUGUAUGAAUCUACAUAUUAUACGUAUGGUUUUGAAUAUUGUAAUUGAAAGCUUGUAUUUUUUUACGGUUGCAAUAGACUAUUACCACAACCCA
This is a non-coding RNA of Triticum urartu, 2671 nucleotides long. NCBI's taxonomy places the organism in Eukaryota, Viridiplantae, Streptophyta, Magnoliopsida, Poales, Poaceae. The record is from RefSeq and is a predicted model, not a curated record.